Molecule: unclassified non-coding RNA, 268 nt
Filed under: Leptolyngbya sp. SEV4-3-DK2
Lineage: Bacteria; Bacillati; Cyanobacteriota; Cyanophyceae; Leptolyngbyales; Leptolyngbyaceae
Also listed under: 1 other name
Description: 16S-23S ribosomal RNA intergenic spacer
Source: RNAcentral
UAUAGGGAGACCUACCCCUUCAUUUUUGCCAAUGUGCAAGAUGAAGUUGGUCAUCUCAAGGUCGGUGAGAGUUGGAUAUUGGCUUUCAAACUUGUCUGGUUUGUGAAAAUUUUAAGGAUUCAGGACAGCAACUCGUCUUUCUACUAGAACAGAGAGCCUGCUGGAUUGAAUCCAGUACAAGAACCAAGAAAACUGCAUAGUGAAGUUGUCAGGUAGAAAUAUCAGACACCAAUGUAAUGGACAGAACUGAUUGAGAAAUCAAUUUAGU